RNAcentral lists this microRNA precursor (165 nucleotides) under Pelobates cultripes (western spadefoot toad). Lineage: Eukaryota; Metazoa; Chordata; Amphibia; Anura; Pelobatidae. The record is from RNAcentral.
GCAGACACAUUCCAGCCAAUCAGCAGCAGACCCUCCCUCCCUCCCUCCCAGACCCUCCCACCUCCUGGACAGCUCACUAAGAAUGCAGCUUCAAAAUGGAUGCUGUCCAGGAGGUGGGAGGGUCUGGGAGGGAGGGUCUGCUGCUGAUUGGCUGGAAUGUGUCUG